UACGUAGGGUGCGAGCGUUGUCCGGAAUUAUUGGGCGUAAAGAGCUCGUAGGCGGUCUGUUGCGUCGACUGUGAAAACUCGGGGCUCAACUCCGAGCCUGCAGUCGAUACGGGCAGACUAGAGUUCGGCAGGGGAGACUGGAAUUCCUGGUGUAGCGGUGAAUGCGCAGAUAUCAGGAGGAACACCGGUGGCGAAGGCGGGUCUCUGGGCCGAUACUGACGCUGAGGAGCGAAAGCGUGGGGAGCGAACAGGAUUAGAAACCCCGGUAGUCC
Molecule: ribosomal RNA, 272 nt
Filed under: uncultured bacterium
Lineage: Bacteria
Description: partial 16S ribosomal RNA
Rfam family: Bacterial small subunit ribosomal RNA
Source: RNAcentral